This 510-nucleotide ribosomal RNA is filed under the name uncultured bacterium. RNAcentral's name for it is "bacterial SSU rRNA". It matches the Rfam family "Bacterial small subunit ribosomal RNA", at positions 28 to 529 of the family's 1533-position model. The record is from RNAcentral.
GACGAACGCUGGCGGCGUGGAUUAGGCAUGCAAGUCGAACGGUAUCAUCCUUUCGGGGGUGAGAGAGUGGCGAACUGGUGAGUAACACGUAGGUUAUCUACCCUCAAGACGGGGACAACCCAGGGAAACUUGGGCUAAUACCGGAUGUGAGCAACUUUUAGUUGUUUGAAAGGUGGCGUAAGCUGUCGCUUGGGGAUGAGCCUGCGUCCUAUUAGUUAGUUGGUGAGGUAACGGCUCACCUAGGCAAUGAUAGGUAGGCGGCCUUAACGGGUGGUCGCCCACACUGGGAUUGAGAUACGGCCCAGACUCCUACGGGAGGCAGCAGUCGAGAAUAGUCUACAAUGGUCGGAAGACUGAUAGUGCGACGCCGCGUGAACGAUGAAUCCCUUCGGGGUGUAAAGUUCUUUUAUAUGUGAGCAGUGCUUCUUAUAUUAACAGUACGGGGAGAGAGAUAUUAGCAUAUGAAUAAGCAACGGCUAACUCCGUGCCAGCAGCCGCGGUAAACUCGUU